ACAAUGCAGGUUGGAUUUGCUCCAAAGAGAAAUCGCUGAACAGAACACUGAUAAGCUAAAAAUCUAUGAAGCACAAUAGUUCAAACUGUAUCUGAUCUCUCAUAUAAAAGAGACCAAACUCUGGAACCUUAAACUUUUCCUUUUGUAAAAAUACUUGGCUAUAACCCUUAAGGUGCCUGUAGCAUCCUCCAGAGCAAAGCUAAGCCUCUUCUGGGAGGUGCCACCAAAUCCAAUUACAACUGUCAUUCUGAAGGAGGCUCCUGGGAACUUUGCUGCGUUUGUAACAUUUAUACGAAAUACGUUUUCAAAGGUUGAGCUUUGCUGUUACCUCAAUGCUUAGAAACCAUCUCUAGGCUUCCAACUGACUCACAACCCAAAACCUCAUCCCAAACACUUCUACGUGACUCAGCGAUCCUCUCGGUACUUUAAUGCUGUGAACAACAGACUGUAGCAGAGGCAACUAUGAGAAGCACAUUCGUCGUUGCUGCAUGGUACCCUGUAUUACAGCAUGCCCAGCUUAUAUUCCACCAUCAAGUGUGGCUUGCCCAUCAGUGCACUUUGUGAUGGGUCGGUAAGAAUAUCCUCAAAACCAUGGUCUCGUCGUUGCUGCUCAAAAUAUCCAGUGAGAGGUUUGAGCUUGGAAGAAACAGAAGACGCUGAAUCUGCUGCACUGCCUUGAA
This 680-nucleotide long non-coding RNA is filed under the name Rattus norvegicus (Norway rat). Its description in RNAcentral is "long non-coding RNA NONRATT025259". The record is from RNAcentral. Lineage: Eukaryota; Metazoa; Chordata; Mammalia; Rodentia; Muridae.